UCGCGUAACGACCAUUUCAUUGGCUAUAACUUCCUCUCUUCCUCGCCCUCAUGGUAAUGGGUAGGGAUAUGGAGCCCGACCCGGAUUCCCAUGAGGGCGAGGAAGAGAGGAAUUUAUAGCCAAUGAAAUGGUCGUUACGCGAGUCAGGGGGCGAGUAGAGGCCAAGCCAAUCUAGUUUGGAGGGCGAAUCAACAUUGGACCAGGAGACGGUGACGGUAUCGCCAGAUUUGGAGAGGAUGGUAGGUGUGACGGAAAUUUUGACUUUGGCGAGAGAGGAAGAGGUGAGAAGAGAGAAGAGGAGGAGAAGUAGAGGGAUUUUCAUGGUGAGAGAUAGUGAACAAUUUGGUAGUGGUGGAAGAGGCGGAGAAGGGGGAGGAGCGUGGUGGUGAGCCCAAUAUUGUUGAUCAGAGAAUGGGCAAUGUUAUGGUUAUCUAUCAGAGAAAGC
RNAcentral lists this unclassified non-coding RNA (445 nucleotides) under Hevea brasiliensis (rubber tree). Lineage: Eukaryota; Viridiplantae; Streptophyta; Magnoliopsida; Malpighiales; Euphorbiaceae. The record is from RNAcentral.